UAACAGCUCAAAUUUGAAAUCUGGCUCCCUGCGGAGUCCGAGUUGUAAUUUGUAGAAGAUGCUUUGGGUGCACGACCCGGCCUAAGUGCCUUGGAACAGGACGUCGUAGAGGGUGAGAAUCCCGUAUGCGGCCGGCGUCGACGCCCGUGUAAAGCUCUUUCGACGAGUCGAGUUGUUUGGGAAUGCAGCUCAAAAUGGGUGGUAAAUUUCAUCUAAAGCUAAAUAUGGGCCAGAGACCGAUAGCGCACAAGUAGAGUGAUCGAAAGAUGAAAAGCACUUUGGAAAGAGAGUUAAACAGUACGUGAAAUUGUUGAAAGGGAAGCGCUUGCAACCAGACUUGGGCGUCGCUGAUCAUCCAAAGUUCUCUUUGGUGCACUCGACGACGCACAGGCCAGCAUCGGUUGGGGUGGUGGGAGAAAGACUGUAGGAACGUAGCUCUUUUCGGAGAGUGUUAUAGCCUGCGGUGCAAUACUGCCUACCUCGACCGAGGACCGCGCUUCGGCUAGGAUGCUGGCGUAAUGGUUGUAAGCGACCCG
Molecule: ribosomal RNA, 536 nt
Filed under: Phyllactinia ailanthi
Lineage: Eukaryota; Fungi; Ascomycota; Leotiomycetes; Helotiales; Erysiphaceae
Description: eukaryotic LSU rRNA
Rfam family: Eukaryotic large subunit ribosomal RNA
Source: RNAcentral